Salmo salar (Atlantic salmon) is the source of this 46-nucleotide non-coding RNA. The record is from Rfam. NCBI's taxonomy places the organism in Eukaryota, Metazoa, Chordata, Actinopteri, Salmoniformes, Salmonidae.
CCAAAGGCUCUUUUGAGAGCCAUUCACAUUGCAUCCAUAUUGCAAU